UUUUUAUUCUUAUCUAUAAAGGAAUUAAGUGAAUACUAGAUUUAAUUAUUUAUAUAGUAACCAAGUUUUUAUUUUAAAAAUACGUAAGCUUGGCUCUGACUUAUUGAUAUAGCAAGGACUAGAUAAUACACAUGGUUUUUAUUGAAGGAGGCGAGGUAAAAAAGAUUACAGUAAAAAUAUAUAAUUUAAACUGAUGUUCUUUUUUAAAGUAUUAUAGAUGUAAAAAAUGCUUUGAAAAGUCCCGCUAACUCCAGUGCUGAAGGUUAAUAAAAAAGUGAAAGCUUGAAUUAAUUUAGUAGAAUAAAAUCUGGUUAACUUGGUGCCAGCAUCCGCGGUUAGACCAAGAGAUUAAGUUAUAUUUUAAGGUGAAAAGACAGUUAGGCCUAAAAUAAUUUUAUAGUUCAUUGAUCGUUUAUAAAAAAGUAAAAUUUGUAUAUAAACAGUUAAUUUAGUUAUAACUAGUUUGCUGAAGCUGUGAUAGUCCUGGGGGAAACUGGGAUUAGAUACCCCAUUAUUCUUGACUGUAAAUCUAAUUAAAUUUACCAGAGUACUAUGAAUGUUUAAUAAAAAUUUAAAACUCAAAGGGCUUGGCGGUGUUUUAGACCUAUUAGGGGAACCUGUCUCAUAAUCGACAAUCCACGUUAAACCUAGCCCUAUUUUGUAUCCAGUUUGUAUACCGUCGUCGUCAGGUAACUUUUAAAAAAUUAGAAGUUAGCAAUAAAAAUUUUGUAAACUAAAACGUCAGAUCAAGGUGCAGCCAAUAAAAGGGAGAGGAUGGGUUACAAUUAUUUUAUUUAUAAUUACGGAAAAUUAUAUGAAAAUGUAAUUAGAAGGAGGACUUGAAAGUAAAAUAACAUACACAAACAAUUUGAAUAUGGCUCUGAAACGUGCACACAUCGCCCGUCGCUCUCGUUGAAAAAAUGAGAUAAGUCGUAACAUAGCAGAGGUAAUGGAAAUUUGUCUCUAGAUG
This 970-nucleotide ribosomal RNA is filed under the name Lirabuccinum musculus. Its description in RNAcentral is "12S ribosomal RNA". The stretch from base 249 to 969 matches the Rfam family "Microsporidia small subunit ribosomal RNA". Lineage: Eukaryota; Metazoa; Mollusca; Gastropoda; Neogastropoda; Buccinidae. The record is from RNAcentral.